GGCAACGAUCUUUAGUUGGUCUGAGAGGAUGAUCAGUCCACUACUGGAACUGAGACACGGUCCAGACUCCGUACGGGAGGCCUAGCAGUGGGGGAACUAUUGGGAACAAUGGGCGCAAGCCUGAUCCAGCGACGCCGCGUGAGUGAUGAAGGCCUUAGGGUUGUAAAGCCUCUUUUAGUGGGGAAGAUAAUGACGGUACCCACAGAAAAAGCCCCGGCUAACUUCGUGC
Molecule: ribosomal RNA, 229 nt
Filed under: uncultured Devosia sp.
Lineage: Bacteria; Pseudomonadati; Pseudomonadota; Alphaproteobacteria; Hyphomicrobiales; Devosiaceae
Description: partial 16S ribosomal RNA
Rfam family: Bacterial small subunit ribosomal RNA
Source: RNAcentral